This 1446-nucleotide long non-coding RNA is filed under the name Pongo abelii (Sumatran orangutan). Its description in RNAcentral is "lincRNA". The record is from RNAcentral. Lineage: Eukaryota; Metazoa; Chordata; Mammalia; Primates; Hominidae.
AGAAAACGGGCGGCUUGAUCGGCUUUUAGGUAGCCCCGGAAAGGUCGAGAGGAGGAGGGGCAAAGGCCGCGCUCCUCAGCUGGGAAGGAGGUGGUCUCGAGCAGCCUCCAGUCCCGGACUCAACACCGCCAACCCGGCAAGGGUGAGGCAGCGUUCAGGGAUGCAAGGGGCAGAGCGGUAGCGGCACCUGUGCACCCCUCCCACCUCUGCCUCAGUUUACCACGUACAGCCUCAUUUCUCUCCGGGCUGCCCUGAGAGAAAAAUGUUCUCCAGCCGAGAUUUGCUUGAAUUGCAAAUUCAAGUGAUCCAUGGACACACCCUCCUUGACAGCCCCCAGGAGGCUGUGGGCUGGUUACAUCCCCCUAGUUAGAAAAGGAAAAGGAUUCCAGGAGAAGGGAAGGAUGCAGCUUUGUCUUUUCCCAGCUUUGGAGCAUCAAGAAACUGUUACUGGGCGAAGCUGGGGCCAGGGGGCCACUGGGUGCUCUGAGAGUGUAAAGACCAAACUCUGGUGGGACCUGGCUCCAUUGUGGAGCCUCAAAGGCUCCAACAUGGUGGAAAAAAUUGGCAGUGCCUUCUCUAGAUCUUUCUUUCCAUCCUUAGAAGAGUAUAAGCCCAAGCCGUGGAGUGAACAACCCCAAAGCUACCCUAAGCUGAACUCCUCUCUUUGGUCCUGCCACUACUGGUGAAACCACUGACCCUUUCUGGGCCUGUUUCCUUACCUGUCCUGAGGAGAUGCUGACCUUUGGCUCCAGAGAGACUGUGAGAACUCAGUGAGGGGGUCCUGCACUCCGAGGGUCCUGCACCCUGGGAGCCCUUAGGUCUGUUUGGAGAGAAAACAGUUCCUCCAGGCAAGAGGGGAGAAGUGUCCCCAGGAGGUUGGGGGAGGAGCACCUGCCUUCCUCCUUCUCAGGAAUCACAGGUCCUACCUCCCAGCCCCAUCCACCACUGCCAGUCAGCACCUGACGCACUGGGGGUGUCCUGGGCCACCCCGACUUCCUCUGUGAGCUCCAUGUGGGGCCUCAGUCUUUACCUCAGAUGGGAAACUGAGGCCCAGCAAGAGGCAGGGCCUGGUGCAGGGACUACAGUGAAUAGGGCUGGUUUACUAUUGCUCCUUGUACAGAGCCAUAUCAAGCCCCUUUUCCCGGCUUCCUCCCUCACCUCCCCCAUCUUAGCAGGGCCCCUGCCCCUUCCUCACCCCCUGGCUUCUACAUCUCCCUAAGGGCAUAGCCUAGUGGUGGUUUCUCCCCUGAGUAGGCCCAGCUAGCCUCUGUCCCAUCCCCUGUUAUUUGGGCCCUAACAGAAGCUACCCACAUUUGAACCAUCUCUGCCCCAUGCUCAAGACCUGAGGGUCUCACAUCCUCAAAAUGGGUCCCCAAAUUCCAGAUCCAAGGAUUUGGGGAUCACACUGUUCAUCAGCUGUCACUAAACUUAUUUUACUAUGAGCCA